CAUUCCCUCUCUCCCAGCCAUGUACCUUCCUUCCUGUCAUCCAUGACGCCACCUCUGGUUGUGCUCUAGCCCCUCUUGUCAUUUGCAAGUCACCAGCUUCUUUCUUGUGAUUGUCGAAGUGUCGUCUGUCGCCAUCCCCUCUCCUCUGCUCAUCAGUCGCCAGCCCACGGUCCCUCGUUGUUGUCUGUAGAGUGGUCCAUCGUGGUUGUCUUUCAAAGCCCCAAACCUAUCACCGUUCGUCUCGUCAUUCUCUAAGCCUCAAACCAAACCCUAGAUUCGCCAAUCGCUAGCAUCCACGGGCCCUGUUCUGUCGCUAUUCGCCUGGGGUCCAUCGUCGUGGUCAUCGCAAGGUUGUCGUCGUGGUGAUCAUCGCUAGGUUGCCGUCAUCCAUCGCAUUCAACUGCUAUUCCUCAAACUUUGUUCACUUCCAUCACUUAGCAAAGAAAGAUGAACACUGAAGAACAGAAAAUUUAAUGUAAACUCAUGAAGAAAAAGAAGGGAUAGCUUGAAAGUUAUGAAGAUCCAAACUUGUGUGCUCACUUCUUGAUUCAAUCUCUGGCUGUUUACCCUUUUAAUAAAGGAGUAAAGUUUUUAAAGCUUGAAACUUGGCUUGAACAGUUGACUUUUUCUUCCCCAAAUACAGCAGCAGCGCCGCAUAAGAGAGAUGGGACUGUAGCAGUGAUUAAAGUUUACGUACAUCCUUAUUAAGAUGUUUCUCUUUUAUCGUUUUUCGAUUUUCUUCAAUAAUCUGAGCUAUUUAUCAAUGUUUUGGCUCCAAGUUUCAUUCUUGACCCUUAAUUUAUAGUAGAGCUUCAUAACCUUCAAUUUCUUCAA
Molecule: non-coding RNA, 834 nt
Organism: Arachis ipaensis
Lineage: Eukaryota; Viridiplantae; Streptophyta; Magnoliopsida; Fabales; Fabaceae
Source: RefSeq, a predicted model, not a curated record